RNAcentral lists this ribosomal RNA (382 nucleotides) under uncultured eukaryote. RNAcentral describes it as "partial 18S ribosomal RNA". It matches the Rfam family "Eukaryotic small subunit ribosomal RNA", at positions 592 to 976 of the family's 1831-position model. The record is from RNAcentral.
CAAUAGCGUAUAUUAAAGUUGUUGCAGUUAAAAAGCUCGUAGUUGGAUUUCUGGUUGAAGCGACCGGUCGGGCGUUGAUUCGUCUGCACUGGAGUCGGUUUUGGCCAUCCUCUAGGAAAGUGCGUCUGGUAUUAAGUUAUCGGGCGUAUGAUCCUGGUCUUUUACUGUGAAAAAAUUAGAGUGUUUAAAGCAGGCCUUCGCCUUGAAUACAUUAGCAUGGAAUAAUAAGAUAGGACUUUGGUCUAUUUUGUUGGUUUGCAGACCGAAGUAAUGAUUAAUAGGGAUAGUUGGGGGUAUUUAUAUUCCGAUGUCAGAGGUGAAAUUCUUAGAUUUUCGGAAGAUAAACUUGUGCGAAAGCAUUUACCAAGGAUGUUUUCAUUAA